RNAcentral lists this long non-coding RNA (3725 nucleotides) under Mytilus galloprovincialis (Mediterranean mussel). Lineage: Eukaryota; Metazoa; Mollusca; Bivalvia; Mytilida; Mytilidae. The record is from RNAcentral.
GGCAAGUCUAGAUCUGUUGGUCUUGUUUUAAAAGAUCAAAAUAAGCCAAUUUUGCCAUAUAACAUGUAUAAAAAUAUUUAAGGCAAUUUGUCAGAUAUUUUAACUUCAUUUCAUUUUACAUUAUUUCUUUUAGCAUUUUCUAUGGAAGUACAUGUACUUCAAGAAGAAGAAGAAGCUAAGCAACAGAAUGGAAUUCUCUGAGGCAUUGCUUUCUAGAUUAUAUGAUGGAUUCAUAGAUUUUCAUAUUGAUUUAUGUGCAUAUAAAGAGCAGCCGGCAAUUAUUUUAUGACGAGAGGUAUGUACAUGUAAUAAAAAGGAUAACUUUGUUUGAAUAUUUUGUUGUUGUCAGACUAUCUACAUGUUACACAUUUUGAUUUCGUGUAAGCUGUGAAAAAAUAUUUUUUCUACUGGACCAUUUUAUUGAAAAUAGCAUUGGAAGCUCUAUAUACACUCCAUUGCUUGUUCUUUUUAUACGACCACAAACAAUUUUUGGGGAUUGUAUAAUGGUAAGGUGUUGUCGUUAUCUGCAGCGUCCGAAGACACAUUGGUUUCCGAACAAUAACUUAGGUUUAAGUGCAUAAAUCUUUAUGAAUUUUGUUUAGAAGGUCCAAUACCACAAAAAAAGGUUGGGAUGAUUUUGGGGAUGAUGGUCGGAAGUCCCAACCGUUUAGGAAUUAGGGGCCCAAAAUGGGCCAAAAACAAGCAUUUUUCUAGUUUCAGGAUAAUAGCUUGUUUAUAAGUAUUUCAAUUGCUCUGAAAUUGUACCACAAUGUUUAAAACCACAAGUACAAGGUUUUGAUUCAGUUUAGGGGUCAUGGGGCCAAAGUUUAGGAAUAAGGGGCCAAAAACAAGCAUUUUUCUAGUUUCCAGACAAUAACUUGUGUGUAAUUGUAUAGAUCUCUCUGAAAUUGUACCACAAUGUUCCAUAUAACAAAGGGAAGGCUGGGAUAGAGUUUUGGGUUAGUUGCCCAAAAUAUGCAGGAAUUAGGGGCCAAAAAGAAGCAUGUUUCUAGUUUCCAGACAAUAACUUGUGUUUAAGUGACUCAUAGGCGGAUUAAGGAUUAAGGUGAGGAGGCCCAGGCAGCCCUGCCCCCUCCGCCCUUUUCCCCCAGCCCUGCCCCCCCCCCCUCUUUUCUGGGAAAAUUUUGGUUGAUUAUAUAGGGAAACACUGAAGCAUGUCCGGAUCAGUCCCCCUCUUAGGCAGUCACUGGGCCCCCACAUAUGAAAAUUUCUGGAUCCGCCAUCGAGUGUAUGGAUCUCUCUGAAAUUGUACUACAAGGUUCCAUACUACAAAAGAAAGGAUGGGAUUGAGUUUUAGGGUUAUUGCUCCAAGGGGGAUUUCAAUAAGUUGAGGGGGGGGGGAUAGUUUGUUUACAACUUUUUUAAGGGAUUCCUUUUUUUUUCAAAAUUUUUCAAAUUUUUGAUUUUUGAAAAGUUUCAUGCAAUAAUGUUCAGCAAAGUAAGAUCUACAAUGGUCAACAUAACCAAAUUUUCAAUGGACCCUUAAGCAGUUGCCCUUCAUAGCAAAUUUUUAACAACUUUCUCGUAAAUUUUGCAAUCUUUUCCUCUUUUGUGUUUUUGAGCAAGAACUAAAGAAGAUAAAGAGAAACUUAACAGGCUAUUAAUAAAAUAUGUUUACAGGAGUUUUGCCUCUUGGAAAUAGAUAUUGAAUUUGUAAGGAAUUGCAUCCCACACAUGUCUACUUUUCUUGUAGAUUAUUUUUUUAUAAUUUAUGAAAAAUGUUAAAAAAAAAGAACAUACUUAUUUGUUGUGGUUAUUGCUUUUUGACAGCAAAUUUUAUAUAUCCAUCAAUUGGUGAGGUACAUUGAAACACUGUUCUUUUAUUAAAUGCAUGAAGUAUACAGAUGGUAACACAAAUGACAACAUGUUAUGUUCAUGAGUUUAAUAUUUAUAUAUAAAUGUUGUAUUUCAACAAUUUUGCCUAUGAAACAGCAAAUCAAGAUUUAAUAAACCAGAGUUAAUGCCUAAAUGGAUUUUUUUAAACUUAGGCAGAAGAAUAGUUUUUUUAUAUAUACAUGAUAUAUGAAAAGUUCAUGCUAUACAUAUAUUUGUUGAUUGUUUAUAAAUUGUUUCCAUUAACUCAAAAGUAAAAGUAUUAAUUAGUGAGCAUCAGUUCAUACUACAUGUACAUUUAGUUUUUGUCUGGACUUUUGGAUUAACUUAAAAUUUAUAAUUUUAGCUUGUUACCAAAUGAAAGGAAAGUGCAGUAUUAGAAUCACUGAGGUACAUGCUACGGUGUACAUGUACAUGUAGGUGCAGAUGUCCUGUAAAAAAAAACUGGUAUCAAAGUAAGUUCAUAUGUAGAAUUGUAUUUGAUUUAAAUAAUUUAAUGUUAUCUAUUCAAAACUUUUUCAAGUGUAAUUGUACAUGUAUACAGUUGUUUAUUUUUCUGUCAUUUUGAUGUCAAGUAUGCAUCGAGGAAUCCUUACCAGUCUCAUCUGCUUCUGCUGCACACGCAUGAGAAAUGAGAAGCUCAAAUAAUUAUAGCAUUUGCAUCACAGACCGUAUAUUAUGAAUUGUAUAUUUAACAUGAUCAAAAGUUGUUCUUGUCUUGAAUAUAUACAUUAAAUAUUUGCCACUGUACCUUAAAAUAAACAAGAAAAAUUAAUUUGAUAAUUUUCUUUUAACCGUAGAGCGUUUUUAAAGAACUAGAAUAUUGAUAUAAGGAGAUGGCGUAUGAUCCUCAAUGUGACAACUAUCAAUUAAAAAACUAAAGAACGAAGAUAAAACAUUUACUGGUCACUGUUCAGCAAUGAACAAUAAUCAAAAUCCAUACCAUAAAGUAACCUUCAACUUGUUUAAGAAUGCAAAAUGUGAACCAUUGAAAAAUUAAAACUACAUAUAUUGUAUGGCAGACAUUAAUUAAUAUGUUUAUAGAAUGAUUGUAAGGUGUUUAUAUUUGUUUUGCAGGUGCAAUUCUUGCAAGAUUUUUAUAAAAACUUAUACUAUACUUUUAAUAUCAGCAAUAUCUUGGUCAAGUUCACUACUUUUGACCGAUUGACUAUUUUCAAAAGAGUUAUGCCCCUUGAAAAUAUUAAAUAAAGGAAAAUGGCCUUGUAAGCGCUCUCAUCGGUUCAAUUUUUUAUAAAACACAUAGUAUACUGUAAGUAAUGCCCUUGAAGGUCUGUUUGAAAUAUUUCGUAUACAAGAAAAAGAAGUUUUUUUCCAAGCACACUUUUUUAUUUAUAAUUUUAUUCAAGUGCCUUUUUUUAAUUAUUGCCCCUUGCUAAAUAAAAUAUGUGCAACUCAGUGGACAUUGAAACUCUGUUCUGUUAUUUUUAUUUUCAGGAACUGAAAAGUAAAGAAACAGAACCAAAGACGAUUCAUUUUAAAUUAAUACAAUAUUGAACUCAAAAGUCAAUCUAGUUGUCUUUCUUAAUUAUAGAUAUAAGAAGAUGUGGUAUUAGUGCCAAUGAAACAACUCUCCAUCCAGGUCAUAAUUUGUAAAAGUAAACCAUUACAGGUCAAAAUACAGUUUUCAAAACAGAGCUCACACGAAACAGCAAGCCAUUAAGGGCCACAAAAGCGGCAGCAUACACUAGCACCUGUAAUAGCUAGCAGUGUAGACAAUUACAUAUCAAUGUGUAUGGUGAUAUAGCAAUAGAAAUAUCACAUCCAUCAGAGGGAAAUAGAAUAUAGACAAUAGAAAUAUCACAUACAUCAGAGGGAAAUAGAAUAUAGACUGUCACAAUAGAAAUAUCACA